UACGUAGGGUGCGAGCGUUACUCGGAAUUACUGGGCGUAAAGCGUGCGCAGGCGGUUUUGUACGCCAGAUGUGAAAGCCCCGGGCUUAACCUGGGAAUGGCAUUUGGGACUGCAAGGCUUGAGUGCGGCAGAGGAGACUGGAAUUCCUGGUGUAGCAGUGAAAUGCGUAGAUAUCAGGAGGAAUACCGAUGGCGAAGGCAGGUCUCUGGGCUGACACUGACGCUCAUGCACGAAAGCGUGGGGAGCAAACAGG
This 253-nucleotide ribosomal RNA is filed under the name uncultured bacterium. RNAcentral's name for it is "partial 16S ribosomal RNA". It matches the Rfam family "Bacterial small subunit ribosomal RNA", at positions 524 to 776 of the family's 1533-position model. The record is from RNAcentral.